RNAcentral lists this ribosomal RNA (347 nucleotides) under Staphylococcus aureus. RNAcentral's name for it is "bacterial SSU rRNA". It matches the Rfam family "Bacterial small subunit ribosomal RNA", at positions 1 to 336 of the family's 1533-position model. Lineage: Bacteria; Bacillati; Bacillota; Bacilli; Caryophanales; Staphylococcaceae. The record is from RNAcentral.
UUUUAUGGAGAGUUUGAUCCUGGCUCAGGAUGAACGCUGGCGGCGUGCCUAAUACAUGCAAGUCGAGCGAACGGACGAGAAGCUUGCUUCUCUGAUGUUAGCGGCGGACGGGUGAGUAACACGUGGAUAACCUACCUAUAAGACUGGGAUAACUUCGGGAAACCGGAGCUAAUACCGGAUAAUAUUUUGAACCGCAUGGUUCAAAAGUGAAAGACGGUCUUGCUGUCACUUAUAGAUGGAUCCGCGCUGCAUUAGCUAGUUGGUAAGGUAACGGCUUACCAAGGCAACGAUGCAUAGCCGACCUGAGAGGGUGAUCGGCCACACUGGAACUGAGACACGGUCCAGAC